RNAcentral lists this ribosomal RNA (697 nucleotides) under Sporothrix zambiensis. Its description in RNAcentral is "eukaryotic LSU rRNA". It matches the Rfam family "Eukaryotic large subunit ribosomal RNA", at positions 148 to 873 of the family's 3401-position model. Lineage: Eukaryota; Fungi; Ascomycota; Sordariomycetes; Ophiostomatales; Ophiostomataceae. The record is from RNAcentral.
AUUUGGAGAGGAUGCUUUUGGCGCGGCGCCGUCCGAGUUCCUUGGAACAGGACGCCACAGAGGGUGAGAGCCCCGUACGGACGGACGCCUAGCCUCUACAAAGCUCCUUCGACGAGUCGAGUAGUUUGGGAAUGCUGCUCUAAAUGGGAGGUAAAUUUCUUCUAAAGCUAAAUACCGGCCAGAGACCGAUAGCGCACAAGUAGAGUGAUCGAAAGAUGAAAAGCACUUUGAAAAGAGGGUUAAAAAGUACGUGAAAUUGUUGAAAGGGAAGCGCCUGUGACCAGACUUGCGCCCCGUGGACCACCCGGCGUUCUCGCCGGUGCACUCCGCGGGGCGCAGGCCAGCAUCGGUUCUCCUAGGGGGAUAAAGACCGCGGGAACGUAGCUCCUUCGGGAGUGUUAUAGCCCGCGGUGGCAUGCCCCUGGGGGGACCGAGGACCGCGCUUCGGCAAGGAUGCUGGCGUAAUGGUCACCAGCGACCCGUCUUGAAACACGGACCAAGGAGUCAAGCAUUGGGGCGAGUGUAUGGGUGCCAAACCCGCACGCGAAAUGAAAGUAAACGCAGGUGAGAGCUUCGGCGCAUCAUCGACCGAUCCUGAUGUCUUCGGAUGGAUUUGAGUAAGAGCCUUACCGCUUGGACCCGAAAGAUGGUGAACUAUGCCUGAAUAGGGUGAAGCCAGAGGAAACUCUGGUGGAGG